CAGCCGCCGGGAAUACAGAGGGUGCAAGCGUUAAUCGGAAUUACUGGGCGUAAAGCGCGCGUAGGUGGUUUGUUAAGUUGGAUGUGAAAUCCCCGGGCUCAACCUGGGAACUGCAUCCAAAACUGGCAAGCUAGAGUAUGGUAGAGGGUGGUGGAAUUUCCUGUGUAGCGGUGAAAUGCGUAGAUAUAGGAAGGAACACCAGUGGCGAAGGCGACCACCUGGACUGAUACUGACACUGAGGUGCGAAAGCGUGGGGAGCAAACAGGAUUAGAUACCCCCGUAGUCCCUGUCUCUUAUACAA
RNAcentral lists this ribosomal RNA (301 nucleotides) under uncultured bacterium. RNAcentral describes it as "partial 16S ribosomal RNA". It matches the Rfam family "Bacterial small subunit ribosomal RNA", at positions 512 to 809 of the family's 1533-position model. The record is from RNAcentral.